Molecule: microRNA precursor, 63 nt
Filed under: Triops cancriformis
Lineage: Eukaryota; Metazoa; Arthropoda; Branchiopoda; Notostraca; Triopsidae
Description: microRNA tcf-mir-307 precursor
Gene: tcf-mir-307
Rfam family: mir-67 microRNA precursor family
Source: miRBase by way of RNAcentral
UCACUCAACUUGGGUGUGGCGCGUGAUUCAAAAAAAUGUCGUCACAACCUCCUUGAGUGAGUG